AUGAAGAUUGUGAAAGCAAAUGCAGGACAUCUCACCAACUUCGAAGUUCUCGACUUCUUACGGAAAAGAGGUGCAAAAACUGAUCCCAUGGGAUGUUUGGGGGCCGUUGCUGCAUCAGAGUGUAAGGUAUACGAGUACCUCCUGAAAACUCCUGCUUGCAAUCAGACAAGGGAAUCAGUUACUGAAUUUGCAAACAGAUGUGAGGGUUUCAAGCUUACCGAUGCUGACAAGCAAAACAUUAUCAAUUGGAGGCCAACCUCAGCAGCUGAUGUUUAUGCGAUGGUAGAGGAGUGUGGGAAGAGAUUUUGCAAGGACGAGCGAGGAGUGCCGCAGGAUGAAGAUGACCGUGCCGACGAACUUGUGGCUCUUGUAAAUGAGAUUUUUCCAGCACCACCUGCAAAGCCAGAGGAUGAGGUGGAUAUGAAGCCAGAGGAUGAAGUGGAUGCGAAGCCAGAGGAUGAAGUGGAUGUGGAUAUGAAGGACAGCUGA
This 489-nucleotide ribosomal RNA is filed under the name Triticum aestivum (bread wheat). RNAcentral describes it as "partial small subunit ribosomal RNA". Lineage: Eukaryota; Viridiplantae; Streptophyta; Magnoliopsida; Poales; Poaceae. The record is from RNAcentral.